AGACAGAGAGAGACAGGUGGAGACAGAGAGAGACGGGUGGAGAGAGAGACAGACAGGUGGAGACAGAGACAGGUGGAGACAUACACAGGUGGAGAGAGAGACAGGUGGAGACAGAGAGAGACAGGUGGAGACAGAGAGAGACGGGUGGAGAGAGAGACAGGUGGAGAGAGAGAGAGACAGGUGGAGAGAGAGACAGGUGGAGAGAGAGACGGGUGGAGAGAGAGAGAGACAGGUGGAGAGACAGAGAGA
This is a long non-coding RNA of Scomber japonicus (chub mackerel), 249 nucleotides long. RefSeq lists it as uncharacterized. The record is from RefSeq and is a predicted model, not a curated record. The transcript has 3 exons. NCBI's taxonomy places the organism in Eukaryota, Metazoa, Chordata, Actinopteri, Scombriformes, Scombridae.